This is a non-coding RNA of Zonotrichia albicollis (white-throated sparrow), 5441 nucleotides long. The record is from RefSeq and is a predicted model, not a curated record. Lineage: Eukaryota; Metazoa; Chordata; Aves; Passeriformes; Passerellidae.
UAUCUAAAUAAAGUUUAUUUAAUUCUGCAAUUCAUACUAAAUUUCACUUUUGAGCAAAUCUGCUGUUUACAGAGAGAUUAUACCUAUUCUGUUUACUUAAAUAAGAACAAUAGGGACAUCAGAGAUACUAAUAUAUAUCUAAUACCUUAAUAUCUAAGGAGGAACUGGCUGAUCAUACAUUUUGCAGAUCACGGCACUUAAUUUAUUUUUGUCCAAAUAUAGUACCUUAAAUAUUUGCAUUUGUUUUAGUUACUUCCUUUUAUUCUUGACAUAGCUUUUAUGACACAGGAUCAGUUUUCUAAUUUUACAUACCUGAAGUAAAUGAGAGUUAAUAUUUGGGCAUGUUUUAUCUUCCCUGAUUUCAAGCAAGGAAAGACUAAUUUAAGUUCAUAGACAUAUAUACUUGUAAGUUAUACUGUUCUGUACUUGGCAAGGGCCUUAAUGUGCUAGCAAAAGAAAAAAUUCCAAGUAAUGGGUCUCCCUGAAGAAGGGAAAGGGAAGAGAAAAAGAAAAGGAAAGGAAAAGCUGCUUUUUAGAAAAAAGGUUUUUCAUAGCUAGCAAACUUGAGAGUGGGGGGAGGAAAAAGAAUUGUUGACAAUGACAUUCAUAGUGCUGCUGUUAUUUUACUGAAAAUUGUCAUGGUUAGUAAAUCACAAUGAGUCCCUGUAUUGGGGUGGUAGACAUGGUGAGGCUGGGUUCACAGUUGGACUCUAUGAACCUUAGUGUUUCUUUGUUUUCCUUCAAUCCCUCUACUUACACAAACAAACCAUGUUAUUGAGUAUCAGAGUCUGAUAGAGUGUUUACACAAAGGCAACAGUGUGAGACCUCUUGUGCCAUCCUCUUGUCCUCAUUUGGCUUAUGAUUAUUUUAGGUGUCCUCAUACCUGGGGUUAAAGGCCCAUCAAGUUUCUCUUGUGUUUUCUGUGUGGUUGCACAUUAGCUACAAAUUGCCUUGUCAUUUGCAAUGUGUCUGUCUGACAAAUAUUCCAGCUCCAUAGGAGUUGGAAUAAAGCAGAAGAGGUAUCUCAUUCACUUCUCUCUAUCAUUGUGCUUUAAAGACAAUUUCUAGGAAGAGAAACCCGGGAAAACAGAUUCUUUAUAAUCUCCUCUGCCUCUGAACAGACAGCUGUGGAGCCUGAUGUUCCAUGUCCCAAAAAACUCAAGAGUCCUCUGCAGCUGUAAAACAAGCAGGCUAAAUGAGAUCAUAUGACGUUGUUUUGCAUCCUGGCAGAGAGAUGGCUAUCAUCCUGAUUUUCCUUGAAGAGAAAUUUAGUAGGUGAACUGGGGAUAGAAUACCCAUAAAUGUGUACGAAUGAAAUAGCAGAAUAAAGCAUGUUUACUCUAAUUGGCUUACACAGAAGUAACAAUGAUCUGAUACUGCAAAACUGAAAGAAAAGCUCUUCUGAAUGUCCCAUAGCAUACUCUGCUCAUUUUCAAUUGUGUUCUGCAGAGCAGGGUAACAACUGGCAUCAGAGGAUGGAGAAUCUAACACAGCAAGUCUGCAGAUGGCUGGGUCAGAGAAAAGGACAGUUCAUCUGGUUUUUUGGAUAUUUCAAAUUUACAUGCAGAAUAUCUAAUAAUGACUACUUCAUUCCAAGUGCUAUUUGUCUUUGACAGUAAAACUCAUAUGAAGCAUAACUAGAAGAGACAGAAGGGAAAAAGGAGGGAGAACAGAGAGGAUUGUGUGAACAGCAAAUACGGAUGUGCUUUACUGGAGAGAAAAACCUGGAGAGGGUGGGAGAAGACUAAAUUGGCAAAAUGUUUCUCAAAGGCCUGAGGCUGACUUACAGGGAAGAAAACAACCAAACAUAAAGCAUAUUGUGCCCUUCACCACCCCUGAGCAAUGAAGCGCAGCAUCGGAAGCUUUUGUGAGGCAGGUGGCAUGCCAAAGUCCACGCAGCAGCUGUGCCGACCCUGGGCAUUUUGAAUGCCUAAAGAAAACACACAUGCUGUUCUUCAGGUCUAAGCAGUUUGUGGUUUGCCUGGGGCCUUCAGCAGCAAGGAGAGGAGAGGAGCAGCAUGGCAGCUCUGCUGCUGGCCAGCAGUGUGGAGGACUCGCUGCUCAGAUGUCUGAAGCAGAAGGUUCAGCUGUUUUGGUGCCCGUGCUGCCAGUCAUGCUCCGCUGGUCACUGCCACCAGAGAGCCCUACAGACCGAGCCCCGCUGCAGCCCUGUGCUGGGUGACCCGGCGGCAUCUGCCAGCCACAUUUCCUGCAGCAGCUUAGCAGAUAUUGACACACCAACAACAGUUCAGUGACCGUGACGGGUUCCUCCCACACUGCAGCACCUAUGAUUUGUAUUAAAAUGGCAUACCAAGUGCUGCAAGUUCUAAAUAAGGGAGGUUCCCUCUCCUAGGCGGUGUACCAUCCAAGGCUAGAGGGAUUGCUGCACUCCUGCUACCCAUGGUCCAUGGCAGACUGGGAUAGAAUUCAGAGCUUCUAAAUCCUAGAUUAGCGAACUAACAAGAUUAUCCUUUCACUCUGAAAACAAGAUUGAGAGAGAGAUUUUGGUAACACCCAAAACUAUUUACAUUAAAUUUCCUGGAACUGUAAAACAUUUUAAUUUUAUGCUUAAGGAAAAAACCAACCUACCUCUGUUAGCAGAGUGUAAAAGUCCCAUCUUGAUCACACAGAUACAGGCACGUGUCAGUUACAAAGCUGUUUGAAAGUUAUACUACUGACAUGUCUUUGAUUUUUAAUAGGUCCUGUGACCUACUAUGAAUGCCUUCAUAAUGAAAAUAACUUGUUCCAUGAAAGAGCAGAUGUUCUAGUACUUAAAUACUUGCUGCUGCCAUGCCAAAGUCUUCUGCUUAAUGGCAUUAGAAGCAGCAGUUUGUCCUGAUCAAUAGUUCUGCUAACAUUCUAGAUGCCACAGAGAGCCAGAACAGGUGGAUCUCCCAUAAGAAAGAGUUUUUAUGGGCCGGGUUUUGUACAAAGUGCUGGGUGUAUACAGUUCUGCCGAGCAACUUCCGGCAUUGGGUACUUAGGCUUCCCUCCACCUUUCUACUACAAAUUCUUUUAUGACAUUUAUGAUAUGUUUAUUUGAAGAAUUGUGUUACGCCCAAGCAAUAUAGCUGUAGCCUGACCAAAGCAAUGAAUUGUCUAAGGGAAAGAAAAAGUCACAGGCAAAUCUUAAAUUUAAAGUAUACCUUUGGCACAGAAAUCUCUAAAUCCAAAGGUGCCUUCAGCUGAUCUCUCACACUUUCCCUAGUUUCUCUUGCAGCAGAGGUGGACCUCUUCUAUUCCAUUCUCUUCACAUAUUUUCCAAUAGACCAAUUCCCCUCUUUACAAUAUUGCUACCUGCAGCCUCUCUGUGUUUUGAGGUCUGCUGAGGAUGAAGAAACAGAGUGCCCCUCUGUGACCAUUUUCUUGCAGAUGUAAGAACAUUGAAGCAGAUAAAUCCUGUGCAUGUCUGUGAGUGGUAUGAGGGUGCCCACAGGCCAGGCUGAAUGGGGCCUUUGAGCAACCUGAUCCAGUGGGUGGCAUCUCUACCCACAGCAGGGGAGUUGGAUGUAGAUAAUCUUUAAGAUCCCUCCCUACACAAGCCAUUUGAUCAUACUAUAUUAGGGCCUGGCCUCCAUGGGCCUCCUUCCCACACACUUUGGUCGAACCAUGGCAGCACUUCAGUGCAAUGACAGAGGUGUCCAGACUGCUCCUCUCCUCAUGGCAGAACGUUGUGGAUAGUCACUGUUAGCAUCACACAGCAUCGUGCCCUCCUGGUUGCCUGCUGUGCGUGUGGGGGAUGUAUAUACCCAUCAAGAGACUACUUAUGUACCCUAUAUGGGGACAAAAGCUAUGUCCAGCCAUGUCACAUGGGUGGAUGUGCACUCAACAUUUGAUGGGAGUUGCGAAGUUUCACCAUGUCAGCUUUAUACUUAGUACAUACCAUGGAAGGAGCUUUAUCCAUGUCUCCCUUCACUGUUCCCCUUAAAAGGCUCCCUUGUCCCGAGCUGGUGUCAGAGUGCUUUAUUUCAACUCCAAACACCAAUUUUUGAGUACAAUGAGGGCUGUGCCCAGGAGCUGGUGGGACUGCCUAGCAUGGCCUUGAGGAGAGAGAGGAGAAAAGAUGUGUUUGCUUGUAUGUUAGGAAUAUGACCGGUGGAGAAACUGCCAUUAACAUGCUUGCAGAACUGGAUCUGUUCUCCCAUCUGUAUUUAUCACAAUGAGAAAGACUACCUGUACUAUCCAGUAUAACAACAACAACAACAAAAGCAGCAAAAAUAACAAUAAUACAUCUUAGCCCAAUUCCAUGAGACUUUAUCGCUUUGUCAUUUAGUUUAUUAGUAUUAUUAAUACUAAUAAAUUUCCAGCAAAUUUCCAGCAAAACUAAGGCAGGCCAUCAUAAUGGGGGAAAGAAGAGCUGUACCAAUGGCAAAUGGCCAACUCCCGUAUUACCAUAUUCCCAAGGCAAGGAAUUUCCACUUUUCCACUGAAAUCCAUUUUUAGUUGUUUAAAUACGCAUUUUUAUUGCAUUAUUCCAUUUUUUUUCCUGAGGUGUAUGAUUUGUACAAAAUCCACCAUAAAUCGGAAAUAUGCAGUAUCUAGACUGUGUUAGGAAUGUCCAUGCUCCAGGAACGGAUUUUAUAGAUUUAGAAAUGAGCAAGUUAGAAAUUGCAUGGUGUGGCUGCAGCAGAGCAGGUGUGGGACAUCAGCCUUCCCUCGAGCUGUUUCACGCCUCUGCCACUGCCUGUUGGCCAACAAGGAGAGUAAAUGUCACUUGGGUGCUGUGCUGCAGCCCACGCCUUCGCCAGGGCCAAAGUGCAAGCCGUACAGCCUGGCUCAGGAGCAGGCAGCAUAUUCCUGUUGCUUUCCCUACCCUGCAAGGCUGGAGGCCUGACUGCGGCAGCACCGGUCAGCCCUGCUGGGACCCUGCUGCCACUGCUGCAGCACAGGAGCCCUGUUUGCACAGGGUACCCACAGCUGUCUUCCUCCAGAUCCUCUUGCCAUCACAGUGCUCUGGGUCUGAGGUGUGUCUGCGCUUUAGGAUUGGAAAAGCUUCUCUUUUUUUCCCUACAGGGUGUUUUUGUUUUGAAAACUAAAUCUGCAGAGAAAAGAGAGCACAGAUUCUGCUACCGGAGCCAAGGCUUCAUGCCAAAUUUUAUGAUAUAGCAUAUACACCUUCAAAGUCUCACUUUAUUUAGCUCAUUAAAGAAUUAUUUGCAUGGGGAGGCUUUGAUUCUGCAUGAGUGGAUAAACUGUUGUCAUGAAAUUUCUUUCUUUCUUUAACAAACUACUGUUCUAUAUGGAGUCGACACUGAAUCUUUAAUUACCCUACAUACUCUUGUGACAAUUCUGUAUUGUGUUUUGGCCUAAACAUGCCUUAAUGUCACCUUCUUCUUUUACUAUCAUUUCACUUGUUAAAUUCUUUUGCCUGGAAAAUGCCACAUGAACACUGGGGAGAAACACCUCAGUUAUUUAAAAAAUAAAAGUAAUUUGAAGUGGAA